This 479-nucleotide ribosomal RNA is filed under the name uncultured bacterium. RNAcentral's name for it is "bacterial SSU rRNA". It matches the Rfam family "Bacterial small subunit ribosomal RNA", at positions 791 to 1267 of the family's 1533-position model. The record is from RNAcentral.
UAGUCCACGCUGUAAACGAUGGUCACUCGAUGUGCGUCCCUUGAGGAUGUGUGUCUAAGCGAAAGCGUUAAGUGGCCCACCUGGGGACUACGUUCGCAAGAAUAAAACCUAAAGGAAUUGACGGGGAUCCGCACAAGCGGUGGAGCAUGUGGUUUAAUUCGAUACUACGCGAGGAACCUUACCUAGGCUUAAAUGUACAGUGAUCAGCUGGGCAACCAGCUCUUCCGAAAGGACAGUGUACAAGGUGUUGCAUGGCUGUCGUCAGCUCGUGCCGUGAGGUGUUUGGUUAAGUCCUAUAACGAGCGCAACCCCCAUGCUUAGUUGCCAGCACAUAAAGGUGGGAACUUUAAGCAGACUGCCCGCGCAAGCGGUGAGGAAGGAGGGGAUGAAGUCAAGUCAUCAUGGGCCCUUAUGCCUAGGGGCUACACACGUGCUACAAUGGGCAUAUACAAAGGGGUCGCUACUUGGGUAACAAGAUG